GGUCCAAAAACUAUAGCCCAGAUCUAUAGGGUUCAUUAUAAUCUUAAAGCAAUAAUAAGAAGUAGCAUAUAAUGGAUUGAAAAGCUUAUUUUAUUAAUAAAUAAUAUUAAAUAAAUGAGUUUGAAAGAUAAAGUACAAAAAAAAUUUCAUCGCAUCCCACAAGCGAUUGGCUUGUAGGGCAUUAUCUUUCAUGCUCUACUAUCAAGGGC
RNAcentral lists this long non-coding RNA (209 nucleotides) under Elaeis guineensis (African oil palm). Its description in RNAcentral is "long non-coding RNA (EGUI_LNC047944)". Lineage: Eukaryota; Viridiplantae; Streptophyta; Magnoliopsida; Arecales; Arecaceae. The record is from RNAcentral.